Molecule: long non-coding RNA, 1740 nt
Organism: Oreochromis niloticus (Nile tilapia)
Lineage: Eukaryota; Metazoa; Chordata; Actinopteri; Cichliformes; Cichlidae
Exons: 2
Source: RefSeq, a predicted model, not a curated record
UUUAAAUUGGCUGCAAGUGUUUGUCUCUGUGGUUCAGCCUUGCAACAGACUGCCAGCCUGUCCAGGCUCUAUGCCACCUUUAGUUUUACUUCCUCUGCCACCUUUUCCCUUAUGAUAGCUAUUUCAUUGUCCUGUGGUUUUGAUCCCAAGGUUUGGGUUUGUUGAGACUUUCUGCUUAAGUAUUAAAUAUUCUGUUUGAUUAUGGUUUUCUGGUUUUUGUUGCUUGGAGCUCUUAUACUCCAGGUUUUCUUUACUUUUGUAAGUGCCAGCUUCAUAGUCUCAUUCAGGUUUUAGUUUUCCUUUGUUUUGACUUCUGUUUGUUAUUUCUUGUGUUAAUUUCUAGUUAUUUCCUGUUGAUUUGUAUUCCAGGGUUUUUUCAUUCCUUGGUAUCUGUACCUUCAUUUUGGAUCAGGUUUAUUGUCACUGUUUAGUCUUCAGUUCUUGUUAGAGUUAGAAUCACUUGGUUUAGCUUCAUUGCUUUAGUUGAUCACUUAACGACUCCUUGUUAAGGCUUCAUUUCUGUGUCAUGUUACUUCCUGUUUUAUUUGUCUCUUACGCUAUGUUGUAGUUUUAGUUUCCUAUGUCUCGUUGUCUCUGAUUUAAUUCAGCUGUGUCUAGUUUCCUAGGCGUCUCCACUCUCCCCCCAAGAUUUACUGUCUCCCAGCAUAGUCUCAAGAGCAUGGAGGAGAUUCCAGGAGAUAGUUACUCUAGGACAGCUGAAGGUUAUUACCCAUCAGCAGAGUCAGUAUCUGCUCCUUUCUAUAAGGAGGAAACGCCAACAAAAUGACCUCCCGCAGCCCACUGCUGGGAAAGUCUCUGACCAAACAAUCAGAGACAGAUUUCAUGAGGGUGGCCUGAGGACUAGCAGAAGUGCCCUGUGCUUUUCACACAUAAACAAGUUCACUCUGAGCACAUGUAUCUAAAGUUAAAGGGUCUGGAGAAGCUGUGAAGAAUGUUAUGCUCCCUGUAACAUUGUUCUGCACAACCGGUUUGGUUGUGGGUCAGUGAUGGUCUGGAGAGGCAUAUCCUUGGAUGGACACACAGACCCCUACAAGCUAGGCAACGACGCUCUGACUGCCAUUAGGUGCUGGGAUGAAAUCUUUGGCCCUAUUGUGAGAUUCGAAGUUAAUGCAGUGAGUCCUGAGUUCCUCCUGUGCUCAACAAUGCCCAGCCUCAUGUGAUGAGAGUAUGUUUGUGUCUGGGGUCUGCAUUAGGGACUUUUUAUGCACCACCUGACAAGCCGGGACAUACACCAGCCCCCAUGACCCUGAACUGGAUAAGCAGAAGAAAAUGGCUGGAUGGACCGUUAUUGUUUGUGAACAAGGUUACAUGAUUCAGUCCUCUCCUGUUCCUUUCUUUCUCUACUUACAGCAAAGCUGGAUAAUGCCACAGAGUAACCACUAUGGUGGUUGGUAAUUGGACCAUUAAGCAAGUGCAACAUUAAUUCCUUCAAAUCCUGCUCCCUCUGUUAACUGAAUGUCAUUUAAAUUGUAUUUAAUCAGCUACUGUUGUUGUAAAAUACACAUCUGUCGUGCAAGUUUGGAAACACCAGCUUAGUGUGCAGUCAUUUCAGCUUAAUCUCUAGAAACAGUUGCAUGGAAACAGUCCCUGUGGACAGCAAAGUUUUAAAAGGUAUCCACUGGCUAACCUGGGAACCACAAAGCACUGGUUGAGAAGUUCCCCGACUGGUUCUACAGGAACCAGGGGAAAAAAGGGAGAAAAUAAAAAUUAUUAUUGUUA